Molecule: ribosomal RNA, 253 nt
Filed under: uncultured bacterium
Lineage: Bacteria
Description: partial 16S ribosomal RNA
Rfam family: Bacterial small subunit ribosomal RNA
Source: RNAcentral
UACGGGGGGGGCAAGCGUUGUUCGGAAUUACUGGGCGUAAAGGGCUCGUAGGCGGCCAACUAAGUCAGACGUGAAAUCCCACAGCUUAACUGUGGAACUGCUUGGUAUACUGCCAGUCUUGAGCCACUUAGGGGCUACCGGAACAAAUGGUGGAGCGGUGAAAUGCGUAGAUAUCAUUUGGAACGCCAAUGGUGAAAACAGGUAGCUGGGAGUGUGCUGACGCUGAGACACGAAAGCCAGGGGAGCAAACGGG